GCUUCUGGGAGCGACCGAUCAAGUUCCUCGGACAGGACGUCAUAGAGGGUGAGAAUCCCGUAUGUGACCGGCCCGCACCCUUUACGUAGCUCCUUCGACGAGUCGAGUUGUUUGGGAAUGCAGCUCUAAAUGGGAGGUAAAUUUCUUCUAAAGCUAAAUACCGGCCAGAGACCGAUAGCGCACAAGUAGAGUGAUCGAAAGAUGAAAAGUACUUUGGAAAGAGAGUUAAAAAGCACGUGAAAUUGUUGAAAGGGAAGCGCCUGCAACCAGACUUCGCGGCAGUGUUCCGCCGGUCUUCUGACCGGUUCAUUCUCUGUCGCGAGGCCAUCAUCGUCUGGGCCCGCCGGAUAAGACCUUAGGAAUGUAGCUCACCUUCGGGGGAGUGUUAUAGCCUAGGGUGAUGCGGCGAGGCUCGGGCGAGGUCCGCGCUUCGGCAAGGAUGAUGGCGUAAUGGUUGUCGGCGGCCCGUCUUGAAACACGGACCAAGGAGUCUAACAUCUAUGCGAGUGUUCGGGUGUCAAACCCCUACGCGUAAUGAAAGUGAACGGAGGUGGGAACCGCAAGGUGCACCAUCGACCGAUCCUGAUGUCCUCGGAUGGAUUUGAGUAAGAGCAUAGCUGUUGGGACCCGAAAGAUGGUGAACUAUGCCUGAAUAGGGUGAAGCCAGAGGAAACUCUGGUGGAGGCUCGCAGCGGUUCUGACGUGCAAAUCGAUCGUCAAAUUUGGGUAUAGGGGGCGAAAGACUAAUCGAACCAUCUAGUAGCUGGUUCUGC
Molecule: ribosomal RNA, 773 nt
Filed under: Septoria agrimoniicola
Lineage: Eukaryota; Fungi; Ascomycota; Dothideomycetes; Mycosphaerellales; Mycosphaerellaceae
Description: LSU rRNA
Rfam family: Eukaryotic large subunit ribosomal RNA
Source: RNAcentral